Molecule: long non-coding RNA, 1168 nt
Organism: Oncorhynchus tshawytscha (Chinook salmon)
Lineage: Eukaryota; Metazoa; Chordata; Actinopteri; Salmoniformes; Salmonidae
Source: Ensembl
CAGGCCAGAGGGGAUCAGAUCCUGCCCAGCCUGCCCCACCAGAGGACAGGACAGCUGUUUACAGGUUGACACUAGUGUCUAUUCCUGGGAUUCUCUGAAGGAGGACUUCAGGAGUCUGCUGGCAUGCGAAGAGGACCACCAUCCCUGACAGACAGAGACUGGGCCCAAGGUGAGGCAGGUCAGGCAGUAGCCUCCAGUCUCCACAGAUCUGCCCAGAAGUGGCAGAAUGAGAUGAAUUUAAAGGUUGAUGGAAAGUCUGAAGUGUAGCGAGGGAGGGAGAGUCUCAGGGGGACGUCGUCAUAGCUUCCUGACAUGGAGCCACGGGCCACAAACCUGUGGUGGCUUCAGACAGCCUGUCCCCACCACCUCUCUCUCCACUCAGCUCUACUCUUCUCCGCUCGGCUAAAAUCAAAGCCAUGCCUUUUUGGAGACAUUGUGCCGGCUGUAAACGUUCCCCAUCUUCACGUGCGAGAGAGAGAGUCUUUCAUGUCGACUGUGGUUUCUAUUUGAAAAAAAGAGAACAGAAGGACACAUGUGUAAAGUCUUUCAUGUUUCCCAAAGGCGGUACCACCUCAUAUAUCCGGUUGUAUCCAUUUUUAUCCUUUUGUACUGGAGAGGACGUGGGGCUGCAAAUCGUUGUCCGUCCGUCCGUCCGUCCGUCCCCCACCACUCCUAACAGAGUUGCAGCCAAGUUGUGGGUUGAAAUGCUAUUCUCUACCUCCCCACCUGCCAGACCUGGAGUCUCCCUGAGAGCCUGUAUGGAGCUCUCCUAAUGUGUCAUGCCCAGACUGCCUGUACUAUCACAGCAAUCAUGUACUACCACGGUUUAAAUAAUGGAUCAGCCUCUUUAGAGAAUACCUUACAACCAUGUAUUCAAGGUAGAGCAGACACUUCCAUUAGGACGGAAAGGUUUGAGGUUAACCUUAUCAUCAGGACUGAACCAUAUAGGCCUAACUACAGCAUUGUUUGGCCUCCUUCCCCUUUCAAUCUACCCACUUCUCAAAGCAUGUUCCCCUUUAGUGUUGCUAGCAGCAACCUGAAUCCUUCGCCUUCUCAUGUACCCUUGAUGUUUUAUGGAGUAAAAGCAGGCCAAUAAAAGAGAAUUUGUCCAAAACGGGCUCAUACGACACAGAGGGAAAAGAUGUUUAAAACAGAUUUUUUAUAUUUG